Molecule: ribosomal RNA, 253 nt
Filed under: uncultured bacterium
Lineage: Bacteria
Description: partial 16S ribosomal RNA
Rfam family: Bacterial small subunit ribosomal RNA
Source: RNAcentral
GACGAACCGUGCGAACGUUGUUCGGAAUCACUGGGCUUAAAGGGCGCGUAGGCGGCUAUGUAAGUCGGGCGUGAAAUCCCACGGCUCAACCGUGGAAGUGCACCCGAAACUGCGUAGCUAGAGUCCUGGAGAGGAAGGUGGAAUGCUUGGUGUAGAGGUGAAAUUCGUAGAUAUCAAGCGGAACACCGGUGGCGAAGGCGGCCUUCUGGACAGUGACUGACGCUGAGACGCGAAAGCGUGGGGAGCAAACAGG